GUGUGUGUAAUUUAAAUAAAAUAUCAAGCUGUGACCUUGAAAAUAGAUAUUACUCUCAUACAUC
Molecule: transfer RNA, 64 nt
Filed under: Chilabothrus argentum (Conception Bank silver boa)
Lineage: Eukaryota; Metazoa; Chordata; Lepidosauria; Squamata; Boidae
Description: tRNA-His
Source: RNAcentral